RNAcentral lists this ribosomal RNA (253 nucleotides) under uncultured bacterium. Its description in RNAcentral is "partial 16S ribosomal RNA". It matches the Rfam family "Bacterial small subunit ribosomal RNA", at positions 524 to 776 of the family's 1533-position model. The record is from RNAcentral.
GACGAAGGGGGCUAGCGUUGUUCGGAAUUACUGGACGUAAAGCGCGUGUAGGCGGUUGUUCAAGUCAGGUGUGAAAGCCUUGAGCUCAACUCAAGGAAUGCACUUGAUACUGGAUGACUAGAGGACCGGAGAGGAUAGUGGAAUUCCCAGUGUAGUGGUGAAAUACGUAGAGAUUGGGAAGAACACCAGUGGCGAAGGCGGCUACCUGGACGGUUUCUGACGCUAAGACGCGAAAGCGUGGGGAGCAAACAGG